UACGUAGGGUCCGAGCGUUGUCCGGAAUUACUGGGCGUAAAGAGCUCGUAGGUGGUUUGUCACGUUGUUCGUGAAAACCCACAGCUCAACUGUGGGCGUGCGAGCGAUACGGGCAGACUAGAGUACUGCAGGGGAGACUGGAAUUCCUGGUGUAGCGGUGGAAUGCGCAGAUAUCAGGAGGAACACCGGUGGCGAAGGCGGGGUCUCUGGGCAGUAACUGACGCUGAGGAGCGAAAGCGUGGGGGAGCGAACAGG
Molecule: ribosomal RNA, 255 nt
Filed under: uncultured bacterium
Lineage: Bacteria
Description: partial 16S ribosomal RNA
Rfam family: Bacterial small subunit ribosomal RNA
Source: RNAcentral